CCUACGGGAGGCAGCAGUGGGGAAUAUUGCGCAAUGGGCGAAAGCCUGACGCAGCGACGCCGCGUGAGGGAUGAAUGUCUUCGGAGCGUAAACCUCUGUCAGCAGGGAAGAACGGUCACUGUGCUAAUCAGCAGUGAAUUGACGGUACCUGCAAAGGAAGCACCGGAGAACUCCGUGCCAGCAGCCGCGGGAAUACGGGGGGUGCGAGCGUUAAUCGGAGUUACUGGGCGGAAAGCGCUCGUAGGUGGUAUGGUAAGUAAAGGGUGAAAGCCCCGGGCUCAACGUGGGAACUGCCUUUGAAACUGGCAGACUGGAGUGUGUGAGAGGAGAGUGGAAUUCGAGGUGUAGGAGUGAAAUCCGUAGAUAUCUGGAGGAACAUCAGUGGCGAAGGCGACUAUCUGGCACAUAACUGACGCUGAGGAGCGAAAGCGUGGGUAGCAAACAGGAUUAGAUACCCUUGUAGUC
This 465-nucleotide ribosomal RNA is filed under the name uncultured bacterium. Its description in RNAcentral is "partial 16S ribosomal RNA". It matches the Rfam family "Bacterial small subunit ribosomal RNA", at positions 338 to 795 of the family's 1533-position model. The record is from RNAcentral.